Long non-coding RNA from Mus musculus (house mouse), 1810 nucleotides. RefSeq annotates it as predicted gene, 26891. Lineage: Eukaryota; Metazoa; Chordata; Mammalia; Rodentia; Muridae. The transcript has 2 exons. The record is from RefSeq and is a predicted model, not a curated record.
CCCCUGAAAGAGCAAACACAAGGAGAGUGAAACUGGGGAAGCUUUCAAGAUGGAAACCAGGAGGGAAAGGACUCAAGCGUGGGAAGGGAGCCAUAAGGAAAUGCUCAAGGCACCUGACUGCAUGAGCCCCCCAUAAACGACGACUGUGCCCACCUACAUAGCCAAUACCUGUGCCUCUCCACUCCACCCACAUCCCUCAGGCUAUACCCACAGAAGGGAAAUGUCACCUGGGGUCAGGGUAAAACACAUAAGGAAUGCUGUGAGUCCUUGAGUUUAUCAUACUAUCACAUGAUGUCAUUAACAUUUGUUGUCAUAAGAAUGAUUUUAUACACUAUGCAAGAGGCCAUAAACUUACUAAGUAUAAGUACAUAUUAUGUACAUGUUAGGCUUAACCUCUUUCUUUCUUUCUUUCUUUCUUUCUUUCUUUCUUUCUUUCUUUCCAUGAAUGAAAACAAAACCUUCCAAGAAACAAUGUGUCUCAGGUCCUUCUUGACUCUGGAGACUGCAGUCACCUCCCUAUCACAGCCUGGAUGACCUUUCCCUCUGACACCUGGACUCUCCCCUAAGGCUUCCUCGGGGAAGUCAUCUCCUCACACCCAUGCAUAGGGGAAACUCUCCAACAAUUCAUCACCAGGCUGACAACACCACAGAUGUCAAUCAGGUUUCCCAGGGCACUCAAUGAGACCAUCCCCUCAAAGCUCUGAAGCCCCCAAGGCCCCUGUUUCCCUGUGGGACUGACACCUCCACUGCAGGGACAGUCCUCCCUGAGCACAGACCAAGCAGAGAGCACACGUGGAGAAAUGCAUUCAAAGACAACCGCAGUGCACGCUGGGAAGAAGCACAGACAGGAAGUGCUCAGACCUGCCAGCCCUCACUGGAAAGGGGCAGACUGGGCUGGGGGAAUCCGGAUCCUUGGGAAGCUUCAAGAGGGAAAGAGGGCAGGAGUCACCUAACCUGAAGUCACUCUAUGUCCAAGAGAGAAAAACAACUUACACAGACCAUGUCUUGGGAACUAGAGCUGGCCAUUCUUCUUCAGGCUUCCUCCCCUGGGGGACAAAAAGAAAGCCAUUCACUGCAUUGUGACUUGAUGUUCCCAGGCUGACUUCUGUCACUGUGAUGUCAUCGACUACACUUAUUUCUCAAGCCUCCCCACUCACUCUCUCCCCUCCCACCGCUCACAGCCUCCCACACACAAAUUGGAAGCACACAGGAGUCUACACAAAGCUGAUCACCUCCUAACCCAGACAACCCACGGCCAAGGGGGCAGUGUGGGAGUGCAGGGCACAAACAUAUCUGCCUUGAACUCCUCCAGAAGAGGCCAGCAGAAGGGAUCCAUCUUCCACCCUGAGCUCCAGCUCGCCCUGCACCUGGGCCGCUCCUCCUACUGUGCGCAGAUCUCAGAUCUUCCUACUGGAACCCCACCUAUCAAGGCUCACAGGGGCUCACAGCAUCCAGGUGGCCCCUCCUGUGUAAACUCAGGGCUGAAGCACAGCGAGGCUGGAGGGGCUGCAGCUGUGAUGCUCAGGCAGCGUCCAGCAUUCUGUGCCCACUGUUAGUGAAUGGGACUGUGCACCAUGGACCACUCUCCUGAGAACCUUCCCUCAUCUAUGAUAACACUUAUGUUGUCUCAAGCCAUGAUCCUUUAUGAAGAUAAUUAGCUGUAAAACAUCCUGUCACAGGAGGUUCUCAUUUUGUAGCACACCCCUCCUGGAACUUGCUAUGUGGAUCAAACUGAUCCUUAAUUUACAAUGAUCCUCCUGCUUCUGCCUCCCAAAAUGCUGAGAUUAAAAUGUACACUGUACAGACUAGA